RNAcentral lists this ribosomal RNA (431 nucleotides) under Cellulomonas sp. RNAcentral describes it as "bacterial SSU rRNA". It matches the Rfam family "Bacterial small subunit ribosomal RNA", at positions 21 to 449 of the family's 1533-position model. Lineage: Bacteria; Bacillati; Actinomycetota; Actinomycetes; Micrococcales; Cellulomonadaceae. The record is from RNAcentral.
GGCUCAGGACGAACGCUGGCGGCGUGCUUAACACAUGCAAGUCGAACGGUGACGACGGGGCUUGCCCUGUCUGAUCAGUGGCGAACGGGUGAGUAACACGUGAGUAACCUGCCCUUGACUCUGGGAUAACCGCGGGAAACGGCGGCUAAUACCGGAUAUGAGACGUACAGGCAUCUGUUGCGUCUGGAAAGAUUUAUCGGUCAAGGAUGGGCUCGCGGCCUAUCAGCUUGUUGGUGGGGUGAAGGCCUACCAAGGCGACGACGGGUAGCCGGCCUGAGAGGGCGACCGGCCACACUGGGACUGAGACACGGCCCAGACUCCUACGGGAGGCAGCAGUGGGGAAUAUUGCACAAUGGGCGCAAGCCUGAUGCAGCGACGCCGCGUGAGGGAUGAAGGCCUUCGGGUUGUAAACCUCUUUCAGCAGGGAAGAA